This 263-nucleotide ribosomal RNA is filed under the name uncultured Staphylococcus sp. Its description in RNAcentral is "partial 16S ribosomal RNA". It matches the Rfam family "Bacterial small subunit ribosomal RNA", at positions 99 to 355 of the family's 1533-position model. Lineage: Bacteria; Bacillati; Bacillota; Bacilli; Caryophanales; Staphylococcaceae. The record is from RNAcentral.
CUGACGGGUGAGUAACACGUGGGUAACCUACCUAUAAGACUGGGAUAACUUCGGGAAACCGGAGCUAAUACCGGAUAAUAUUUCGAACCGCAUGGUUCGAUAGUGAAAGAUGGUUUUGCUAUCACUUAUAGAUGGACCCGCGCCGUAUUAGCUAGUUGGUAAGGUAACGGCUUACCAAGGCGACGAUACGUAGCCGACCUGAGAGGGUGAUCGGCCACACUGGAACUGAGACACGGUCCAGACUCCUACGGGAGGCAGCAGCA